UACAGAGGGUGCGAGCGUUAAUCGGAAUUACUGGGCGUAAAGCGUGCGUAGACGGUUAUUUAAGUCGGAUGUGAAAGCCCCGGGCUCAACCUGGGAAUUGCAUUCGAGACUGAAUAGCUAGGGUGCGGUAGAGGGAAGCGGAAUUUCCGGUGUAGCGGUGAAAUGCGUAGAUAUCGGAAGGAACAUCAGCGGCGAAAGCGGCUUCCUGGACCAGCACCGACGUUCAGGCACGAAAGCGUGGGGAGCAAACAGG
This 253-nucleotide ribosomal RNA is filed under the name uncultured bacterium. RNAcentral describes it as "partial 16S ribosomal RNA". It matches the Rfam family "Bacterial small subunit ribosomal RNA", at positions 524 to 776 of the family's 1533-position model. The record is from RNAcentral.